Long non-coding RNA from Corylus avellana, 513 nucleotides. RefSeq lists it as uncharacterized. NCBI's taxonomy places the organism in Eukaryota, Viridiplantae, Streptophyta, Magnoliopsida, Fagales, Betulaceae. The record is from RefSeq and is a predicted model, not a curated record.
GAAGGUUGGAAUUCUGACGUUGAUUUCUAUUCAUGGGCUGAUGGCAAGAAACUUUAUGUCGGAGACAUAUUAGUGAGUCAAAUAUACACUUCCAGAACUCAAUAUUAGAGGAGAGGAUCGUUUCUGCUUCUGAUCCGAAAGGAAGAGUGAGUGAAUAAUCUUCAAAUUGAAAUAAAGUUUUCAACUAUGCUAAGGAUGAGCACAAUGUCAUCGUAGUCAAUGCUACUGGGUAUGAUAAGUGCCUUGCCUCUCCAAACAUGGGAGCCUUCGACAGUGGCAAUGACAAGAUAACCUUGACAACUCCGGGGAACAAAUAUUACAUAUGUCAAUGGCAUGGCGAUUACGCAGACCAAAAGCUGAUGAUCAGUGUCUUGACGAAGAGGAUGUCGGCCGGCACACCCGAAUCUUCACCUGCAUUACCGCCAUCCUAAGCAAAACCUUAUCAGAAACCUUGGUGGAGAUUGCGACUUCCUUACUAGUUUGCAUGCGUUGGAAUGCAAGUGUGAGUAUGAA